Molecule: non-coding RNA, 1313 nt
Organism: Salmo salar (Atlantic salmon)
Lineage: Eukaryota; Metazoa; Chordata; Actinopteri; Salmoniformes; Salmonidae
Source: RefSeq, a predicted model, not a curated record
GUCUGUUUUGCGAUACACACAAGGAUGAAGGAGGAGACCAACAUUAUGAGUAUUAUCUAGUAUUAUAUAGUAUUAUCAUAGAACGUAACGGAUGGACGUUUUCCCCAGGUUUAGUUACAUUAUGAGUAGUGGUCACUUAUUACAAAUAUGCAGUUAUUGUAAUUUAUUUUUGCUCUUUUCUUGUCUGGUCAAUUUAUUUUUGUUUUAAGGAACAUAAGUGUGUUUAUUGUUCCUGAGGAGGGAAUGAUAUAAAUUGACUAAAAUUGAUUUGAGAAUGUUUAAGUAUGUAUCAAACUGUGGAAGGAAAUUGGUAGUAAAUUAUGUGCUAUGGGUUAGAAGAACUAUGACUGCAUUGGGGAUCUGAGGGGGCUCAUAAAUGAAGGUUAUGGUAGUAGAGGGGUGUUAUUUCUAGAGACUAUGUAUAUUAAUAGAAGAGAGAACUCACAGAAGAGAAAGGACAGCUGGCUGUGUAAAAUAUAGGGAUGCACAACAUAGGGACAAUUCUGAGUAAAUUGAACAUUACACAUACCUAGAUUAUGGUAAGAGUAAAAGUGAUAGUGGUGACAUUUAACACUAUGGUAAAAGUUUAAGAGAGUUAUGACUUGGAGUUUUAAGAGGUUGGAUAGUCUUCCAACUGGAAGACACUUGACUGAUUACAUGUUAUUCUAACAGCAGUUGCUGUAGGGACCAUAAUUUGGCUAUCAUUAUGUAUAAGAAUAUCUGUGGUAGGAGGCGAGGUAUUUGAGACAAUGUUUAAAUAGGGCUGUUAUUUAAAUAUUCCAAGUAAUGAUCUUGACAUGAGAAGAAAGUCUGUUGUCAGGAAAUAACCCAUGUGUUAGUGUGUAUGUCCUCAGGAGAAAAGCAGCACAUAAGAAGCCAGAAAUAACCAAGGGCAUGGGCUGACUUCUAGAGAUUGAGUGUACAUCAAGAUAUACCAGGCUGGGGGUAUACUUCUUACAGCACCUGCAGUGGUAAAGAUCAUCAUGUCUCUCUUCGGUGGGCGCAUAAUUCUCACAAGAAGUAAGGUCCAGCUGAAUAAUGGUCUUAUGCUUAGGAACCAGAAGGAGAGGGGUCGCCAGCUUCAGCUGGAAUGUUAGUUGGUGUAUGAUGAGUGAUGGAAAUAAGUGGAUGUAUGGUGUGAUCAUAAAACAGAGGCCAUAAGUCUCUAAGUUUGAAUGCCUCACAGAAAGAAGGCAGAAACCUGAACCAGGACCAGAGGUUCCACGUCUGGUGAUCCAAGAGACCAGGUCCGAGUGUUCCGGAAGAAAGGAAUGAGCCAAGGAGGGAGGGUCCCUACAAGGUGGCUCGAACAA